Molecule: ribosomal RNA, 443 nt
Filed under: uncultured bacterium
Lineage: Bacteria
Description: partial 16S ribosomal RNA
Rfam family: Bacterial small subunit ribosomal RNA
Source: RNAcentral
CCUACGGGGGGCAGCAGUGGGGAAUAUUGGGCAAUGGAGGAAACUCUGACCCAGCAACGCCGCGUGAAUGAUGAAGGUCUUCGGAUUGUAAAGUUCUUUUCUAAGGGAAGAAGAAAGUGACGGUACCUUAGGAAUAAGCCUCGGCUAACUACGUGCCAGCAGCCGCGGUAAUACGGAGGAGGCGAGCGUUAUCCGGAAUGACUGGGCGGAAAGGGUGCGUAGGUGGUUUGGCAAGUUAGUAGCGUAACUCCAAGGCUCAACCUUGGAACUACUACUAAAACUGUUGGACUUGAGUGCAGGAGGGGCAACCGGAAUUCCUAGUGUAGCGGUGGAAUGCGUAGAUAUUAGGAGGAACACCAGUGGCGAAGGCGGGUUGCUAGACUGUAACUGACACUGAGGCACGAAAGCGUGGGGAGCAAACAGGAUUAGAUACACCAGUAGUC